AACGAACGCUGGCGGCGUGGAUAAGACAUGCAAGUCGAACGGGAUUAUUUUUGUAGCAAUACAGAAAUAAUUCAGUGGCGAACGGGUGCGUAACACGUGGGCAAUCCGCCGAAAAGUGGGGGAUAGCUCGCCGAAAGGCGAAUUAAUACCGCAUGUGGUGAGGGACGACAUCUUCCUGAAUCCAAAGCCGGGGCAACCUGGCGCUUUUUGAGGAGCCCGCGGCCUAUCAGCAGUUGGCGGGGUAACGGCCCACCAAGGCUAUGACGGGUAGCUGGUCUGAGAGGACGACCAGUCACACUGGAACUGAGACACGGUCCAGACACCUACGGGUGGCAGCAGUCGAGAAUUUUUCNCAAGUGGGGGAAACCCUGAAGGAGCGACGCCGCGUGGAGGAUGAAGGCUUUCGGGUGUAAACUCCUGUCAUUUGAGAAACAAGGUGCGAGUUAUUAACUGUGCUCGC
This 460-nucleotide ribosomal RNA is filed under the name uncultured bacterium. RNAcentral describes it as "bacterial SSU rRNA". It matches the Rfam family "Bacterial small subunit ribosomal RNA", at positions 29 to 476 of the family's 1533-position model. The record is from RNAcentral.